RNAcentral lists this ribosomal RNA (465 nucleotides) under uncultured bacterium. RNAcentral describes it as "partial 16S ribosomal RNA". It matches the Rfam family "Bacterial small subunit ribosomal RNA", at positions 28 to 507 of the family's 1533-position model. The record is from RNAcentral.
GAGGAAAGCUGGCGGCUUUCUUCCCACCUUCACUUCGAACUUAAAUGCCCAAGCUUGCUUUUUUACUCUAGUGGCGAACGGGUGAGUAACACGUGGGUGAUCUGCCCUGCACUUCGGGAUAAGCCUGGUAAACUGGGUCUAAUACCGGAUAGGACCACAUUUUUUAUGGUUCGGUGGAAAGUUUUUCGGUGUGGUAUGAGCUCGCGGCCUAUCAGCUUGUUGGUGGGGUAAUUGCCUACCAAGGCGUCGACUUGGCGCCGGCCUGAGAGGGUGUACGGCCACAUUGGGCAUGCGAUACGGACCAGACUCCUACGGGCGGCAGCAGUGGGGAAUAUUGCACAAUGGGAGAAAGCCUGAUGCAGCGACGCCGCGUGGGGGAGGAAGGGAGGCGGGUUGUAAACUACUUUAGCUAGGGACGAAGAGAAAGUGAAGGGAAAUGGAGAAGAAGCAAAGGAGAAAGACGGG